RNAcentral lists this ribosomal RNA (252 nucleotides) under Salmonella enterica subsp. enterica serovar Infantis. RNAcentral's name for it is "partial 23S ribosomal RNA". It matches the Rfam family "Bacterial large subunit ribosomal RNA", at positions 1548 to 1791 of the family's 2925-position model. The record is from RNAcentral. Lineage: Bacteria; Pseudomonadati; Pseudomonadota; Gammaproteobacteria; Enterobacterales; Enterobacteriaceae.
CUUUAACACUGAGGCGUGACGACGAGGCACUACGGUGCUGAAGCAACAAAUGCCCUGCUUCCAGGAAAAGCCUCUAAGCAUCAGGUAACAUCAAAUCGUACCCCAAACCGACACAGGUGGUCAGGUAGAGAAUACCAAGGCGCUUGAGAGAACUCGGGUGAAGGAACUAGGCAAAAUGGUGCCGUAACUUCGGGAGAAGGCACGCUGACACGUAGGUGAAGUGAUUUACUCACGGAGCUGAAGUCAGUCGAA